CACAGAAAUAGGUGCUGCCUCUUGUGAA
RNAcentral lists this non-coding RNA (28 nucleotides) under Mus musculus (house mouse). The record is from RNAcentral. Lineage: Eukaryota; Metazoa; Chordata; Mammalia; Rodentia; Muridae.